UCAAAGGCUCUUUUCAGAGCCACACACCUUUUCACAAAAAAGCUUG
Molecule: regulatory RNA element, 46 nt
Organism: Anolis carolinensis (green anole)
Lineage: Eukaryota; Metazoa; Chordata; Lepidosauria; Squamata; Anolidae
Rfam family: Histone 3' UTR stem-loop
About the family: The mRNAs of metazoan histone genes lack a poly-A tail. 3' end processing occurs at a site between a highly conserved stem-loop (modelled by this family) and a purine rich region around 20 nts downstream (the histone downstream element, or HDE). The stem-loop is bound by a 31 kDa stem-loop binding protein (SLBP - also termed the histone hairpin binding protein, or HBP).
Source: Rfam